RNAcentral lists this ribosomal RNA (2901 nucleotides) under Klebsiella pneumoniae. RNAcentral's name for it is "23S ribosomal RNA". It matches the Rfam family "Bacterial large subunit ribosomal RNA". The record is from RNAcentral. Lineage: Bacteria; Pseudomonadati; Pseudomonadota; Gammaproteobacteria; Enterobacterales; Enterobacteriaceae.
GGUUAAGCGACUAAGCGUACACGGUGGAUGCCCUGGCAGUCAGAGGCGAUGAAGGACGUGCUAAUCUGCGAAAAGCGUCGGUAAGGUGAUAUGAACCGUUAUAACCGGCGAUGUCCGAAUGGGGAAACCCAGUGCAAUUCGUUGCACUAUCGUUAACUGAAUACAUAGGUUAACGAGGCGAACCGGGGGAACUGAAACAUCUAAGUACCCCGAGGAAAAGAAAUCAACCGAGAUUCCCCCAGUAGCGGCGAGCGAACGGGGAGCAGCCCAGAGUCUGAAUCAGCUUGUGUGUUAGUGGAACGGUCUGGAAAGUCCGACGGUACAGGGUGAUAGUCCCGUACACCAAAAUGCACAGGCUGUGAACUCGAAGAGUAGGGCGGGACACGUGGUAUCCUGUCUGAAUAUGGGGGGACCAUCCUCCAAGGCUAAAUACUCCUGACUGACCGAUAGUGAACCAGUACCGUGAGGGAAAGGCGAAAAGAACCCCGGCGAGGGGAGUGAAAAAGAACCUGAAACCGUGUACGUACAAGCAGUGGGAGCACCUUCGGGUGUGACUGCGUACCUUUUGUAUAAUGGGUCAGCGACUUAUAUUCUGUAGCAAGGUUAACCGUAUAGGGGAGCCGCAGGGAAACCGAGUCUUAACUGGGCGUUAAGUUGCAGGGUAUAGACCCGAAACCCGGUGAUCUAGCCAUGGGCAGGUUGAAGGUUGGGUAACACUAACUGGAGGACCGAACCGACUAAUGUUGAAAAAUUAGCGGAUGACUUGUGGCUGGGGGUGAAAGGCCAAUCAAACCGGGAGAUAGCUGGUUCUCCCCGAAAGCUAUUUAGGUAGCGCCUCGUGAACUCAUCUUCGGGGGUAGAGCACUGUUUCGGCUAGGGGGUCAUCCCGACUUACCAACCCGAUGCAAACUACGAAUACCGAAGAAUGUUAUCACGGGAGACACACGGCGGGUGCUAACGUCCGUCGUGAAGAGGGAAACAACCCAGACCGCCAGCUAAGGUCCCAAAGUCAUGGUUAAGUGGGAAACGAUGUGGGAAGGCACAGACAGCCAGGAUGUUGGCUUAGAAGCAGCCAUCAUUUAAAGAAAGCGUAAUAGCUCACUGGUCGAGUCGGCCUGCGCGGAAGAUGUAACGGGGCUAAACCAUGCACCGAAGCUGCGGCAGCGACACUAUGUGUUGUUGGGUAGGGGAGCGUUCUGUAAGCCUGCGAAGGUGUGCUGUGAGGCAUGCUGGAGGUAUCAGAAGUGCGAAUGCUGACAUAAGUAACGAUAAAGCGGGUGAAAAGCCCGCUCGCCGGAAGACCAAGGGUUCCUGUCCAACGUUAAUCGGGGCAGGGUGAGUCGACCCCUAAGGCGAGGCCGAAAGGCGUAGUCGAUGGGAAACAGGUUAAUAUUCCUGUACUUGGUGUUACUGCGAAGGGGGGACGGAGAAGGCUAUGUUAGCCGGGCGACGGUUGUCCCGGUUUAAGCAUGUAGGCUGAUUGUCCAGGCAAAUCCGGAUAAUCAAGGCUGAGGUGUGAUGACGAGGCACUACGGUGCUGAAGUAACAAAUGCCCUGCUUCCAGGAAAAGCCUCUAAGCAUCAGGUAACAUCAAAUCGUACCCCAAACCGACACAGGUGGUCAGGUAGAGAAUACCAAGGCGCUUGAGAGAACUCGGGUGAAGGAACUAGGCAAAAUGGUGCCGUAACUUCGGGAGAAGGCACGCUGGUGUGUAGGUGAAGUCCCUGCGGAUGGAGCUGAGACCAGUCGAAGAUACCAGCUGGCUGCAACUGUUUAUUAAAAACACAGCACUGUGCAAACACGAAAGUGGACGUAUACGGUGUGACGCCUGCCCGGUGCCGGAAGGUUAAUUGAUGGGGUUAUCCGUAAGGAGAAGCUCUUGAUCGAAGCCCCGGUAAACGGCGGCCGUAACUAUAACGGUCCUAAGGUAGCGAAAUUCCUUGUCGGGUAAGUUCCGACCUGCACGAAUGGCGUAAUGAUGGCCAGGCUGUCUCCACCCGAGACUCAGUGAAAUUGAACUCGCUGUGAAGAUGCAGUGUACCCGCGGCAAGACGGAAAGACCCCGUGAACCUUUACUAUAGCUUGACACUGAACAUUGAGCCUUGAUGUGUAGGAUAGGUGGGAGGCUUUGAAGCGUGGACGCCAGUCUGCGUGGAGCCAACCUUGAAAUACCACCCUUUAAUGUUUGAUGUUCUAACGUUGGCCCCUNACCGGGGUUGCGGACAGUGUCUGGUGGGUAGUUUGACUGGGGCGGUCUCCUCCCAAAGCGUAACGGAGGAGCACGAAGGUUAGCUAAUCCUGGUCGGACAUCAGGAGGUUAGUGCAAUGGCAUAAGCUAGCUUGACUGCGAGCGUGACGGCGCGAGCAGGUGCGAAAGCAGGUCAUAGUGAUCCGGUGGUUCUGAAUGGAAGGGCCAUCGCUCAACGGAUAAAAGGUACUCCGGGGAUAACAGGCUGAUACCGCCCAAGAGUUCAUAUCGACGGCGGUGUUUGGCACCUCGAUGUCGGCUCAUCACAUCCUGGGGCUGAAGUAGGUCCCAAGGGUAUGGCUGUUCGCCAUUUAAAGUGGUACGCGAGCUGGGUUUAGAACGUCGUGAGACAGUUCGGUCCCUAUCUGCCGUGGGCGCUGGAGAAUUGAGGGGGGCUGCUCCUAGUACGAGAGGACCGGAGUGGACGCAUCACUGGUGUUCGGGUUGUCAUGCCAAUGGCACUGCCCGGUAGCUAAAUGCGGAAGAGAUAAGUGCUGAAAGCAUCUAAGCACGAAACUUGCCCCGAGAUGAGUUCUCCCUGAGACUAUAAGUCUCCUGAAGGAACGUUANGACGAUGACGUUGAUAGGCCGGGUGUGUAAGCGCAGCGAUGCGUUGAGCUAACCGGUACUAAUGAACCGUGAGGCUUAACCUU